Symphalangus syndactylus (siamang) is the source of this 167-nucleotide small nuclear RNA. RefSeq annotates it as U1 spliceosomal RNA. The record is from RefSeq and is a predicted model, not a curated record. NCBI's taxonomy places the organism in Eukaryota, Metazoa, Chordata, Mammalia, Primates, Hylobatidae.
AUACUUAUCUAACAGGGGAAAUACCUUGGUCGAUAAAAGGGUUUAUUCUGAAGGUGAGGUUUAUCUGUUGCACUCAGGAUGUGCUGUUUUCUGUGGUUUUUCCCAGCGUGAGCAGACUCGGUUGUACAAUUUGUGAUAGUGUGGAACUGUGUCCGCACUUUAUCCUG